CUACUGAUCUGGCAGGGGAAUACCACGACCAAGUAAGUGGUUUUCCCAGGGCUAGGCUCAUCCACAGCAUUCGGGGCAUGUAGACCCCUGUGAUUUACACAAAAGUGGGAAACUCAACUGCAUUAUUUGGAGUAGUAUGGGACUGCAUUGACACUUUCUCCUA
Small nuclear RNA from Peromyscus maniculatus bairdii (prairie deer mouse), 163 nucleotides. Its record names the gene U1. It matches the Rfam family "U1 spliceosomal RNA". Rfam says of the family: U1 is a small nuclear RNA (snRNA) component of the spliceosome (involved in pre-mRNA splicing). The record is from Ensembl. Lineage: Eukaryota; Metazoa; Chordata; Mammalia; Rodentia; Cricetidae.